This 450-nucleotide ribosomal RNA is filed under the name uncultured bacterium. Its description in RNAcentral is "partial 16S ribosomal RNA". It matches the Rfam family "Bacterial small subunit ribosomal RNA", at positions 354 to 796 of the family's 1533-position model. The record is from RNAcentral.
GUGGGGAAUAUUCCGCAAUGGACGAAAGUCUGACGGAGCAACGCCGCGUGAGUGAUGAAGGUUUUCGGACUGUAAAGCUCUGUUGUUUGGGACGAAAGUGCCUGUUGCGAACAGUUACGGGUAUUGACGGUACUAAACGAGGAAGCCACGGCUAACUACGUGCCAGCAGCCGCGGUAAUACGUAGGUGGCAAGCGUUGUCCGGAAUUAUUGGGCGUAAAGAGCAUGUAGGCGGGAAUCUAAGUCUGUUGUUAAAAUGCGGGGCUCAACCCCGAAUUGCGAUGGAAACUGGGUUUCUUGAGUGCAGGAGAGGAAAGGGGAAUUCCCAGUGUAGCGGUGAAAUGCGUAGAUAUUGGGAGGAACACCAGUGGCGAAGGCGCCUUUCUGGACUGUGUCUGACGCUGAGAUGCGAAAGCCAGGGUAGCGAACGGGAUUAGAAACCCUUGUAGUCC